AGAGUUUGAUCAUGGCUCAGAAUGAACGCUGGCGGCGUGCCUAACACAUGCAAGUCGUACGAGAAAGGGGCUUCGGCCCUGAGUAGAGUGGCGCACGGGUGAGUAACGCGUGGGUAAUCUGCCCUUGGAUUUGGAAUAACUCCGCGAAAGUGGAGCUAAUACCGGAUAGUCUGGCUUUUUAACGAAGUCGGUAAAGGAUGCCUCUGCAUAUGCAUUCGUCCGAGGAUGAGCCCGCGUCUCAUUAGCUAGUUGGUAGGGUAAUGGCCUACCAAGGCAACGAUGAGUAGCUGGUCUGAGAGGAUGAUCAGCCACACUGGAACUGAAACACGGUCCAGACUCCUACGGGAGGCAGCAGUGGGGAAUAUUGCGCAAUGGGCGAAAGCCUGACGCAGCAACGCCGUGUGAGGGAUGAAGGCUUUCGGGUCGUAAACCUCUGUCAGAAGGGAAGAACGGGCAUUGGUCUAAUAGGCCUUUGUUUUGACGGUACCUUCAGAGGAAGCACCGGCUAACUCCGUGCCAGCAGCCGCGGUAAUACGGAGGGUGCAAGCGUUAUUCGGAAUUACUGGGCGUAAAGCGCACGUAGGCCGCUUUGUAAGUCAGGGGUGAAAUCCCACGGCUCAACCAGUGGAACUGCCCUUGAAACUGCGAAGCUUGAAUCCUGGAGAGGGUGGCGGAAUUCCUGGUGUAGGAGUGAAAUCCGUAGAUAUCAGGAGGAACACCGGUGGCGAAGGCGGCCACCUGGACAGGUAUUGACGCUGAGGUGCGAAAGUGUGGGGAGCAAACAGGAUUAGAUACCCUGGUAGUCCACACCGUAAACGAUGGAUACUAGGUGUCGGGGACUUGAUCUUCGGUGCCGUAGCUAACGCGUUAAGUAUCCCGCCUGGGGAGUACGGUCGCAAGGCUGAAACUCAAAGAAAUUGACGGGGGCCCGCACAAGCGGUGGAGUAUGUGGUUUAAUUCGAUGCAACGCGAAGAACCUUAC
Molecule: ribosomal RNA, 982 nt
Filed under: uncultured bacterium
Lineage: Bacteria
Description: bacterial SSU rRNA
Rfam family: Bacterial small subunit ribosomal RNA
Source: RNAcentral